RNAcentral lists this ribosomal RNA (584 nucleotides) under Psychrobacter sp. CY-C3-7. RNAcentral describes it as "bacterial SSU rRNA". It matches the Rfam family "Bacterial small subunit ribosomal RNA", at positions 104 to 686 of the family's 1533-position model. The record is from RNAcentral. Lineage: Bacteria; Pseudomonadati; Pseudomonadota; Gammaproteobacteria; Moraxellales; Moraxellaceae.
GGGUGAGUAAUACUUAGGAAUCUACCUAGUAGUGGGGGAUAGCACGGGGAAACUCGUAUUAAUACCGCAUACGACCUACGGGAGAAAGGGGGCAGUUUACUGCUCUCGCUAUUAGAUGAGCCUAAGUCGGAUUAGCUAGAUGGUGGGGUAAAGGCCUACCAUGGCGACNAUCUGUAGCUGGUCUGAGAGGAUGAUCAGCCACACCGGGACUGAGACACGGCCCGGACUCCUACGGGAGGCAGCAGUGGGGAAUAUUGGACAAUGGGGGAAACCCUGAUCCAGCCAUGCCGCGUGUGUGAAGAAGGCCUUUUGGUUGUAAAGCACUUUAAGCAGUGAANAANACUCUAUGGUUAAUACCCAUAGACGAUGACAUUAGCUGCANAAUAAGCACCGGCUAACUCUGUGCCAGCAGCCGCGGUAAUACAGAGGGUGCAAGCGUUAAUCGGAAUUACUGGGCGUAAAGGGAGCGUAGGUGGCUCGAUAAGUCANAUGUGAAAUCCCCGGGCUCAACCUGGGAACUGCAUCUGAAACUGUCGUGCUAGAGUAUGUGAGAGGAAGGUAGAAUUCCAGGUGUAGCGGUGAAA